GAUGAACGCUGGCGGCGUGCCUAAUGCAUGCAAGUCGAGCGAACAGACGAGGAGCUUGCUCCUCUGACGUUAGCGGCGGACGGGUGAGUAACACGUGGAUAACCUACCUAUAAGACUGGGAUAACUUCGGGAAACCGGAGCUAAUACCGGAUAAUAUAUUGAACCGCAUGGUUCAAUAGUGAAAGACGGUUUUGCUGUCACUUAUAGAUGGAUCCGCGCCGCAUUAGCUAGUUGGUAAGGUAACGGCUUACCAAGGCAACGAUGCGUAGCCGACCUGAGAGGGUGAUCGGCCACACUGGAACUGAGCCACGGUCCAGACUCCUACGGGAGGCAGCAGUAGGGAAUCUUCCGCAAUGGGCGAAAGCUUGACGGAGCAACGCCGCGUGAGUGAUGAAGGUCUUCGGAUCGUAAAACUCUGUUAUUAGGGAAGAACAAAUGUGUAAGUAACUAUGCACGUCUUGACGGUACCUAAUCAGAAAGCCACGGCUAACUACGUG
This 497-nucleotide ribosomal RNA is filed under the name uncultured bacterium. Its description in RNAcentral is "partial 16S ribosomal RNA". It matches the Rfam family "Bacterial small subunit ribosomal RNA", at positions 28 to 507 of the family's 1533-position model. The record is from RNAcentral.